RNAcentral lists this ribosomal RNA (344 nucleotides) under uncultured eukaryote. RNAcentral describes it as "SSU rRNA". It matches the Rfam family "Eukaryotic small subunit ribosomal RNA", at positions 567 to 923 of the family's 1831-position model. The record is from RNAcentral.
CCAGCAGCCGCGGUAAUUCCAGCUCCAAUAGCGUAUAUUAAAGUUGUUGCAGUUAAAAAGCUCGUAGUUGGAUUUCUGGCAUGGGGCGAGGGCGCGCAUGUGCGAGGCCCAAGUGCCAUGCCAUCCUUCUGUUAACCUUUCUUGGCAUUCAUUUGUUAGUUAGGGGCUCAGAUAUUUUACCUUGAGAAAAUUAGAGUGUUUCAGGCAGGCUCGCGCCGGGAUACAUUAGCAUGGAAUAAUGGAACAGGACUUUAGCCUCUUCUGUUGGUCUGAGGGGUCGAAGUAAUGAUUAAUAGGGAUAGUUGGGGGCAUUAGUACUAAACUGUCAGAGGUGAAAUUCUCGG